Molecule: long non-coding RNA, 571 nt
Filed under: Physcomitrium patens
Lineage: Eukaryota; Viridiplantae; Streptophyta; Bryopsida; Funariales; Funariaceae
Description: long non-coding RNA (PPAT_LNC003008)
Source: RNAcentral
AUUUAUUUAUUUGUUUUGUUCCUUGAUUUAAUGUCGUGUUUGUCCAAGAGCGACUACUGAAGCUUUCAUUCUCAAUAUAUUUUCGUUUUUUAUUUUAUUUUACUUGUGAUAUAAGCAUGUCAUAAGAUAUGUUUUGAUAUUUAAGUAGGAUGAAAUCUACUUUAAUUUUGGUUAUAUAUAUAAAUAAAUAUAUAUGUAAGUAUAUUUCAAAUUAAAAUCAGAAUAAGAUACAAAAAAAUUACUACGUCUGGCUUUUGGAACAAGUGGCAAGAACAAAAGUGGAUGAAAGAUCAAAAAUCUAACCAAAUUAAAAGGUAGGGAAUCUAAUUUGAAGGUGGCACUUCCACACAUACUAAUACUCUGCUUUUAAAUUAUAAUUUUUUUAUUAGUACAUUCUUCACUCUGUCGUCAUAACUUUUUAUUCAUGAAAAACCAACAAGAAUUUACAUAAGUGCAUGAUGAAAUUGGCAGUUAUACUGAAAACAAACUUUGAUUGUUAUUAUCUUGAAAUGGGUACAUUUAUUAAAUAUUGAAAAUCAAAUGUGACUUGCAUUAAUAAUGCCGGAAGUUG